Molecule: ribosomal RNA, 407 nt
Filed under: uncultured bacterium
Lineage: Bacteria
Description: bacterial SSU rRNA
Rfam family: Bacterial small subunit ribosomal RNA
Source: RNAcentral
UAGGGAAUAUUGCACAAUGGAGGAAACUCUGAUGCAGCGACGCCGCGUGAGUGAUGAAGGCCUUCGGGUCGUAAAGCUCUGUCGCAGGGGAAUAACACAAUGAAGGUACCCUGCAAGAAAGGAUCGGCUAACUUCGUGCCAGCAGCCGCGGUAAGACGAGGGAUCCUAGCGUUGUUCGGAAUUAUUGGGCGUAAAGCGGGUGUAGGUGGCUAUGUAAGUCGGGUGUGAAAGCCUGGGGCUCAACCCCAGAAGUGCAUUCGAUACUGCGUAGCUUGAGUGGUAGAGAGGAUAGUAGAAUUGUUGGUGUAGUGGUGAAAUACGUAGAUAUCAACAGGAAUACCGGUGGCGAAGGCGGCUAUCUGGCUACACACUGACACUCAGACCCGAAAGCGUGGGGAUCAAACAGG